AAAGUGCGGGAAAUUAAAAGGAGAAAGUUUUGUGAAUAAUUGUAUUUAUUAUUUGGCACAUUUAAUUGAUGCCAUGUUUUAAACCCGGCAAUGUUGAGAUAGUUCCUUUGUUCAGAGUUUGUCUGGUUACCAGGGACUGAUUCAUGGUGACAUCAACAUCCGUUGUUCACUGUUGCUACCUAAUAUUCCUAAUUUCUCCAAAAAAUAUUAGUCCUAUUAAUUUUGCAUUUUCUCUGUGAA
Thalassophryne amazonica is the source of this 240-nucleotide long non-coding RNA. RefSeq lists it as uncharacterized. The record is from RefSeq and is a predicted model, not a curated record. The transcript is spliced from 3 exons. NCBI's taxonomy places the organism in Eukaryota, Metazoa, Chordata, Actinopteri, Batrachoidiformes, Batrachoididae.